This is a long non-coding RNA of Carya illinoinensis, 303 nucleotides long. RefSeq lists it as uncharacterized. The transcript is spliced from 2 exons. The record is from RefSeq and is a predicted model, not a curated record. NCBI's taxonomy places the organism in Eukaryota, Viridiplantae, Streptophyta, Magnoliopsida, Fagales, Juglandaceae.
UCCCUUCCCCUCUUCCUUCUCCUUCUCUCUCCCCCCCGUCUCCCCAUUGCCUUCCGGUGCACGUCGAAGCAGCCGCACGUAGUUAUCGGGACUUCUGCUUUAUGGAGGCGUUAUCGGGAAUCUAACGCAGAAAGAGACAAACCAGAUGCUACUGUUCUUCAGCCACCGCCGCCACCAACAUUAUAAAUCCAGAUAGUGUUGCCACGGCAUCCACUCUGUAUAUAUAGCUUUUCACUUCGGAAUUAUAUCCUCUCAAUAAUAGGGAAUUAGGGAUCCAAUAAAUUGUUUGAUAUAUUGCGGUUA